CGUAGGGUGCAAGCGUUAAUCGGAAUUACUGGGCGUAAAGCGUGCGCAGGCGGUGAUGUAAGACAGAUGUGAAAUCCCCGGGCUCAACCUGGGAACUGCAUUUGUGACUGCAUCGCUGGAGUGCGGCAGAGGGGGAUGGAACUCCGCGUGUAGCAGUGAAAUGCGUAGAUAUGCGGAGGAACACCGAUGGCGAAGGCAAUCCCCUGGGCCUGCACUGACGCUCAUGCACGAAAGCGUGGGGAGCAAACAGGAUUAGAUACCCUGGUAGUCCACGCCCUAAACGGAUGUCAACUGGUUGUUGGGUCUUCACUGACUCAGUAACGAAGCUAACGCGUGAAGUUGACCGCCUGGGGAGUACGGCCGCAAGGUUG
This 371-nucleotide ribosomal RNA is filed under the name uncultured organism. RNAcentral's name for it is "bacterial SSU rRNA". It matches the Rfam family "Bacterial small subunit ribosomal RNA", at positions 526 to 896 of the family's 1533-position model. The record is from RNAcentral.